ACGGAAGGCAGCAGUGGGGAAUAUUGCACAAUGGGGGAAACCCUGAUGCAGCGACGCCGCGUGAGCGAUGAAGUAUUUCGGUAUGUAAAGCUCUAUCAGCAGGGAAGAAAAUGACGGUACCUGACUAAGAAGCUCCGGCUAAAUACGUGCCAGCAGCCGCGGUAAUUCGUAUGGAGCAAGCGUUAUCCGGAUUUACUGGGUGUAAAGGGAGCGCAGGCGGUUUGGCAAGUCUGAAGUGAAAGCCCGUGGCUCAACCGCGGGACUGCUUUGGAAACUGUCAAACUAGAGUAUCGGAGAGGCAAGUGGAAUUCCUAGUGUAGCGGUGAAAUGCGUAGAUAUUAGGAGGAACACCAGUGGCGAAGGCGGCUUGCUGGACGAUAACUGACGCUGAGGCUCGAAAGCGUGGGGAGCAAACAGGAUUAGAUACCCUGGUA
This 434-nucleotide ribosomal RNA is filed under the name uncultured Lachnospiraceae bacterium. Its description in RNAcentral is "bacterial SSU rRNA". It matches the Rfam family "Bacterial small subunit ribosomal RNA", at positions 341 to 792 of the family's 1533-position model. The record is from RNAcentral. Lineage: Bacteria; Bacillati; Bacillota; Clostridia; Lachnospirales; Lachnospiraceae.